ACUUAAAUAGCUUAUAUAGAGCAUAAUAUUGAAGAUAUUAGGGAAAUAAAUUUUAUUUUUAAGUA
This 65-nucleotide transfer RNA is filed under the name Erotylidae sp. BMNH 1274391. Its description in RNAcentral is "tRNA-Phe". Lineage: Eukaryota; Metazoa; Arthropoda; Insecta; Coleoptera; Erotylidae. The record is from RNAcentral.